Molecule: ribosomal RNA, 465 nt
Filed under: uncultured bacterium
Lineage: Bacteria
Description: partial 16S ribosomal RNA
Rfam family: Bacterial small subunit ribosomal RNA
Source: RNAcentral
GGCCAACGCUGGCGGCGUGCUUAACACAUGCAAGUCGAACGGAAAGGCCCUGCUUGCAGGGUACUCGAGUGGCGAACGGGUGAGUAACACGUGGGUGAUCUGCCCUGCACUUCGGGAUAAGCCUGGGAAACUGGGUCUAAUACCGGAUAGGAGCCAUUUUUAGUGUGAUGGUUGGAAAGUUUUUUCGGUGUAGGAUGAGCUCGCGGCCUAUCAGCUUGUUGGUGGGGUAAUGGCCUACCAAGGCGGCGACGGGUAGCCGGCCUGAGAGGGUGGACGGCCACAUUGGGACUGAGAUACGGCCCAGACUCCUACGGGAGGCAGCAGUGGGGAAUAUUGCACAAUGGGCGCAAGCCUGAUGCAGCGACGCCGCGUGGGGGAUGACGGCCUUCGGGUUGUAAACUCCUUUCGCUAGGGACGAAGCUUUUUGUGACGGUACCUAGAUAAGAAGCACCGGCUAACUACGUG